UACGUAGGGUGCAAGCGUUAAUCGGAAUUACUGGGCGUAAAGCGUGCGCAGGCGGUUAUGUAAGACAGGUGUGAAAUCCCCGGGCUUAACCUGGGAACUGCAUUUGUGACUGCAUAGCUAGAGUACGGCAGAGGGGGAUGGAAUUCCGCGUGUAGCAGUGAAAUGCGUAGAGAUGUGGAGGAACACCGAUGGCGAAGGCAGCCCCCUGGGCUAACACUGACGCUCAUGCACGAAAGCGUGGGGAGCAAACAGG
This 253-nucleotide ribosomal RNA is filed under the name uncultured bacterium. RNAcentral describes it as "partial 16S ribosomal RNA". It matches the Rfam family "Bacterial small subunit ribosomal RNA", at positions 524 to 776 of the family's 1533-position model. The record is from RNAcentral.